RNAcentral lists this ribosomal RNA (552 nucleotides) under Hepatozoon canis. RNAcentral's name for it is "bacterial SSU rRNA". It matches the Rfam family "Eukaryotic small subunit ribosomal RNA", at positions 240 to 786 of the family's 1831-position model. Lineage: Eukaryota; Apicomplexa; Hepatozoidae. The record is from RNAcentral.
AAAUUGGUGAUUUAUAAUAACUUAGCAAAUCGCAAAGUGAAAACAGGCGAUAAAUCAUUCAAGUUUCUGACCUAUCAGCUUUCGACGGUAUGGUAUUGGCUUACCGUGGCAGUGACGGUUAACGGGGGAUUAGGGUUCGAUUCCGGAGAGGGAGCCUGAGAAACGGCUACCACAUCUAAGGAAGGCAGCAGGCGCGCAAAUUACCCAAUUCUAACAGUUUGAGAGAGGUAGUAACAAGAAAUAACAAUACAAGGCAGUUAAAAUGCUUUGUAAUUGGAAUGAUAGAAAUUUAAACCCUUUUUAAAGUAUCAAUUGGAGGGCAAGUCUGGUGCCAGCAGCCGCGGUAAUUCCAGCUCCAAUAGCGUAUAUUAAAAUUGUUGCAGUUAAAAAGCUCGUAGUUGAAGUUCUGCUGAAAGUAACCGGUCUGCUUUUAAUAAAAGUGGUAUCUUGGUAUGUAUUUAGCAAUGAUGUCCUUUGAAGUGUUUUUUACUUUAUUGUAAUAAAGCAUAUUCAGGACUUUUACUUUGAGAAAAUUAAAGGUUCUAGCAGGCU